ACCUUACUGACUGACUGACUGAGCUAUAGGCGAGGGGAAGGCUGGUCUAUUAUCAGAGUUUAUGGCAGCAGACAGCCUAUAUUGAGGGAUGAUUUCAUUGGGUAAAAACUUAACUACUGUGUUGGUGGUUUCGUUUUUGGUAGCAAAUGCCUUAGUCUAUCUGGAGAAGGUGUCUACUAGUACUAGAAGGUAUUUGUACUUAGCCUGGUGUGGUUUGACUUCUCUAAACUGAAUUUCUUACUUUUUUCUUGGCGAGUUUUUUCAGAGACAGUGGCCUGGGCUGGGUUUAGGACUUUGUUUGGCAUUUACUUGGGCGCAGGUUGUGCACUGGAGAGCUGCUUAAUCUCUUAGGCUAUGAAGAUGGGGGAUCUUAAAAUGCCUCCGGAGGAGCUGAGGUAACUUUGCUCUUCUUAAAUGGGUGGUAGACUGUAGGUAACUGGUUUAAGUUCAGGGUAUGAAGAUUCCAGAGUCAGGAAGAAUCUACUAACUUUCCUGAUUUUUAUUGGCUCUGAGAUCUGAAGCCAGUUUUUCUGUUGUUGUUGAGUAUACGGGAUUGUCAGGCAGAUCUGGCUGUGGAAAGGAGACUGUGGGCAGCAAGUUUGGAGGCAUGACUGAAAGUCUGGCAGCGACCUGAGCUGCUGAAUCAGCUUUCUGGUUACUAUGGGCAACGGCCGUGUUUUCUUUUUGAUGUCCUUUGCAGUGGAUCACAGCUACCUGCUGAGACAGACAAGGGGAGGGGAUCCAGCGAUGGGAUCAGUCAGAUGCCUGCCUGGCCGCUCCCCGUGAGGGGACUUGGGCUCCUCUUAGCAUUGGCAGGCCGGUAUAAACUUCCGGCUCAGAUCGAGCUAUGCCUGAUGCUGCCUUAAGCCUUAUGAGGUCGCCAUGGAACCGCAGAAACUCCUGGAGGGCAGAGCUGUGUCUGCCAUCUUCAUCAUUGCAUUACCACCACCCAGCACAGUGCCUGGCACAAAAGAGUUGCUCAAUAAAUAAAUCAGGAUGAAUGGAUAAAUACAUGGAUAGGCACUUUGAACUACAGAUGAGUUUAAAUACUUUGUGUUUUUCUUAGUCAAACAUGUGCAAUUAAGCAUGUGAUAAAUGAUAUGAUGACCGCACCUGUGUCUUGCCUGAUGUUCUUUGCAAUCACUAAAUGAAGUCAAUUGUGCCUGUUUUGAC
Long non-coding RNA from Homo sapiens (human), 1173 nucleotides. Lineage: Eukaryota; Metazoa; Chordata; Mammalia; Primates; Hominidae. The record is from Ensembl.